UUACGGCUAUAUCACAUUGAAACACAGGUUCUCAUACAAUCACUGAAUCUAAGCAACGUCAAACUGGGUCAGUACCUAGAUGGGUGACCACUUGAGAAUACCAGGUGCUGUAAG
Acanthosepion pharaonis is the source of this 114-nucleotide non-coding RNA. NCBI's taxonomy places the organism in Eukaryota, Metazoa, Mollusca, Cephalopoda, Sepiida, Sepiidae. The record is from the annotation of a GenBank genome assembly.